This 490-nucleotide ribosomal RNA is filed under the name uncultured bacterium. Its description in RNAcentral is "partial 16S ribosomal RNA". It matches the Rfam family "Bacterial small subunit ribosomal RNA", at positions 30 to 507 of the family's 1533-position model. The record is from RNAcentral.
AUUGAACGCUGGCGGCAGGCCUAACACAUGCAAGUCGAACGGUAACAGGAAACAGCUUGCUGUUUCGCUGACGAGUGGCGGACGGGUGAGUAAUGUCUGGGAAACUGCCUGAUGGAGGGGGAUAACUACUGGAAACGGUAGCUAAUUCCGCAUAACGUCGCAAGACCAAAGAGGGGGACCUUCGGGCCUCUUGCCAUCGGAUGUGCCCAGAUGGGAUUAGCUAGUAGGUGGGGUAACGGCUCACCUAGGCGACGAUCCCUAGCUGGUCUGAGAGGAUGACCAGCCACACUGGAACUGAGACACGGUCCAGACUCCUACGGGAGGCAGCAGUGGGGAAUAUUGCACAAUGGGCGCAAGCCUGAUGCAGCCAUGCCGCGUGUAUGAAGAAGGCCUUCGGGUUGUAAAGUACUUUCAGCGGGGAGGAAGGGAGUAAAGUUAAUACCUUUACUCAUUGACGUUACCCGCAGAAGAAGCACCGGCUAACUCCGUG